RNAcentral lists this unclassified non-coding RNA (275 nucleotides) under fungal sp. Its description in RNAcentral is "partial internal transcribed spacer region". The stretch from base 1 to 46 matches the Rfam family "Eukaryotic small subunit ribosomal RNA", at positions 1786 to 1831 of the family's 1831-position model. The record is from RNAcentral. Lineage: Eukaryota; Fungi.
AAGUCGUAACAAGGUUUCCGUAGGUGAACCUGCGGAAGGAUCAUUAAUGAAUUUAAGGGAGUUGAUGCUGGCAUCUCUGUGCAUGUGCUCACUCUCAUAAUCCAUUCACACCUGUGCACCUAUAUUCGAAGGGGAUUGAGGACUUUCCUUGAAGACUUGUCUGACAGGUGACCCUCUGUUCCCUUUGAAGCUACAAACUCUGAUUCUAACUCUGAAUGUUUAUCUGCCGUAAGGCAAAAUCUAUACAACUUUUAACAACGGAUCUCUUGGCUCUC